GGGAGGGUGCAAGCGUUGUUCGGAAUUAUUGGGCGUAAAGCGCGUGUAGGCGGUGCAUGUAAGUCAGGUGUGAAAGCCUUCCGCUUAACGGGAGAAGUGCAUUUGAGACUGCAUGACUAGAGUACGGGAGAGGAGAGUGGAAUUCCCGGAGUAGAGGUGAAAUUCGUAGAUAUCGGGAGGAACACCAGUGGCGAAGGCGGCUCUCUGGCCUAAUACUGACGCUGAGACGCGAAAGCGUGGGGAGCAAACAGGAUUGGAUACCCUGGUAGACCACGCUGUAAACGAUGGGCGCUAGGUGUGGGGGGUUUUUAAUCCCUCCGUGCCGCAGCUAACGCAUUAAGCGCCCCGCCUGGGGAGUACGGCCGCAAGGUUA
Molecule: ribosomal RNA, 373 nt
Filed under: uncultured bacterium
Lineage: Bacteria
Description: bacterial SSU rRNA
Rfam family: Bacterial small subunit ribosomal RNA
Source: RNAcentral